UAAGGAAUAUUGGACAAUGGUGGCAACACUGAUCCAGCCAUGCCGCGUGCAGGAUGAAUGCCCUAUGGGUUGUAAACUGCUUUUGUACGGGAAAAAACCUCUUUACGUGUAAAGAGCUGAUUGUACUGUAAGAAUAAGGAUCGGCUAACUCCGUGCCAGCAGCCGCGGUAAUACGGAGGAUCCAAGCGUUAUCCGGAUUCAUUGGGUUUAAAGGGUGCGUAGGCGGAAUGAUAAGUCAGUGGUGAAAUCCUGCAGCUUAACUGUAGAAUUGCCAUUGAUACUGUCAAUCUUGAGUACAUUUGAUGUGGGCGGAAUGUGUCAUGUAGCGGUGAAAUGCUUAGAUAUGACACAGAACACCGAUUGCGAAGGCAGCUCACAAAACUGUAACUGACGCUGAGGCACGAAAGCGUGGGUAUCAAA
This 420-nucleotide ribosomal RNA is filed under the name uncultured bacterium. Its description in RNAcentral is "bacterial SSU rRNA". It matches the Rfam family "Bacterial small subunit ribosomal RNA", at positions 355 to 772 of the family's 1533-position model. The record is from RNAcentral.